GUCAGGAUGUCCGAGCGGUCUAAGGCGCUGUGUUCAGGCCGCAGUCUACUUCUCCCUGCGUGAGAUUGAAUCUUACUUCUGAGA
Trichonephila inaurata madagascariensis is the source of this 84-nucleotide non-coding RNA. The record is from the annotation of a GenBank genome assembly. Lineage: Eukaryota; Metazoa; Arthropoda; Arachnida; Araneae; Nephilidae.